This 253-nucleotide ribosomal RNA is filed under the name uncultured bacterium. Its description in RNAcentral is "partial 16S ribosomal RNA". It matches the Rfam family "Bacterial small subunit ribosomal RNA", at positions 524 to 776 of the family's 1533-position model. The record is from RNAcentral.
UACGGGGGGGGCAAGCGUUGUUCGGAAUUACUGGGCGUAAAGCGUGCGCAGGCGGUUGUGCAAGACCGAUGUGAAAUCCCCGGGCUUAACCUGGGGGCUGCAUUUGAUACGUGUGGGCUUGAGUGCGGAAGAGGGUCGUGGAAUUCCCAGUGUAGAGGUGAAAUUCGUAGAUAUUGGGAAGAACACCGGUGGCGAAGGCGGCGACCUGGUCCGUGACUGACGCUGAGGCGCGAAAGCGUGGGGAGCAAACAGG